Molecule: ribosomal RNA, 1346 nt
Filed under: uncultured bacterium
Lineage: Bacteria
Description: partial 16S ribosomal RNA
Rfam family: Bacterial small subunit ribosomal RNA
Source: RNAcentral
GACGAACGCUGUCGGCGUGCUUAACACAUGCAAGUCGAACGGAAAGGCCCUGCUUUUGUGGGGUGCUCGAGUGGCGAACGGGUGAGUAACACGUGAGUAACCUGCCCUUGACUUUGGGAUAACUUCAGGAAACUGGGGCUAAUACCGGAUAGGAGCUCCUGCUGCAUGGUGGGGGUUGGAAAGUUUCGGCGGUUGGGGAUGGACUCGCGGCUUAUCAGCUUGUUGGUGGGGUAGUGGCUUACCAAGGCUUUGACGGGUAGCCGGCCUGAGAGGGUGACCGGCCACAUUGGGACUGAGAUACGGCCCAGACCCCUACGGGAGGCAGCAGUGGGGAAUAUUGCACAAUGGGCGGAAGCCUGAUGCAGCAACGCCGCGUGCGGGAUGACGGCCUUCGGGUUGUAAACCGCUUUCGCCUGUGACGAAGCGUGAGUGACGGUAAUGGGUAAAGAAGCACCGGCUAACUACGUGCCAGCAGCCGCGGUGAUACGUAGGGUGCGAGCGUUGUCCGGAUUUAUUGGGCGUAAAGGGCUCGUAGGUGGUUGAUCGCGUCGGAAGUGUAAUCUUGGGGCUUAACCCUGAGCGUGCUUUCGAUACGGGUUGACUUGAGGAAGGUAGGGGAGAAUGGAAUUCCUGGUGGAGCGGUGGAAUGCGCAGAUAUCAGGAGGAACACCAGUGGCGAAGGCGGUUCUCUGGGCCUUUCCUGACGCUGAGGAGCGAAAGCGUGGGGAGCGAACAGGCUUAGAUACCCUGGUAGUCCACGCUGUAAACGGUGGGUACUAGGUGUGGGGUCCAUUCCACGGGUUCCGUGCCGUAGCUAACGCUUUAAGUACCCCGCCUGGGGAGUACGGCCGCAAGGCUAAAACUCAAAGGAAUUGACGGGGCCCCGCACAAGCGGCGGAGCAUGCGGAUUAAUUCGAUGCAACGCGUAGAACCUUACCUGGGUUUGACAUGGAUCGGGAGUGCUCAGAGAUGGGUGUGCCUCUUUUGGGGUCGGUUCACAGGUGGUGCAUGGCUGUCGUCAGCUCGUGUCGUGAGAUGUUGGGUUAAGUCCCGCAACGAGCGCAACCCUUGUUCACUGUUGCCAGCACGUUAUGGUGGGGACUCAGUGGAGACCGCCGGGGUCAACUCGGAGGAAGGUGGGGAUGACGUCAAGUCAUCAUGCCCCUUAUGUCCAGGGCUUCACGCAUGCUACAAUGGCUGGUACAGAGAGUGGCGAGCCUGUGAGGGUGAGCGAAUCUCGGAAAGCCGGUCUCAGUUCGGAUUGGGGUCUGCAACUCGACCUCAUGAAGUCGGAGUCGCUAGUAAUCGCAGAUCAGCAACGCUGCGGUGAAUACGUUCCCGGGGCU